CCUACGGGGGGCAGCAGUGGGGAAUCUUUUACAAUGCACGAAAGUGUGAUAAAGUGAGCCAAAGUGCUUAUCAAUGAUAAGCUUUUUUUCUGUGUAAAAAUCAGGAAGAAUAAGGACUGGGAAAGACCGGUGCCAGCCGCCGCGGUAAUACCGGCAGUUCAAGUUGCAUCCAACUUUAUUGGGUCUAAAACAUCCGUAGCUUGUUUAUUAAGUCUUUUGUGAAAUCCUACGUCUCAAGCGUGGGGCUUGCAGGAGAUACUGAUAAGCUAGAGACCGGUAGACGUAAGGAGUACAAUCAAGGUAAUGGUUAAAUAUGUUAAUCUUGGUUGGACUAACAAUUAGCGAAGGCACCUUACGAGGACGGAUCUGACAGUGAGGGAUGAAGGCCAGGGGCGCAAAACGGAUUAGAUACCCGUGUAGUC
RNAcentral lists this ribosomal RNA (422 nucleotides) under uncultured bacterium. RNAcentral's name for it is "bacterial SSU rRNA". It matches the Rfam family "Archaeal small subunit ribosomal RNA", at positions 322 to 746 of the family's 1478-position model. The record is from RNAcentral.